Molecule: non-coding RNA, 111 nt
Organism: Acanthosepion pharaonis
Lineage: Eukaryota; Metazoa; Mollusca; Cephalopoda; Sepiida; Sepiidae
Source: the annotation of a GenBank genome assembly
UUACGGCCACAUCAUGUUGAAACACCAGUUCCUUAUGAUCACCAAAGUUAAGCAAUGUCGAGUCUGGCCAGUACCUAGAUGGGUGACUGCCUGGGAAUACCUGAUGCUGUA